Molecule: ribosomal RNA, 507 nt
Filed under: uncultured bacterium
Lineage: Bacteria
Description: partial 16S ribosomal RNA
Rfam family: Bacterial small subunit ribosomal RNA
Source: RNAcentral
GACGAACGCUGGCGGCGUGCCUAAUACAUGCAAGUCGAACGCAUUUUCUUUCACCGUAGCUUGCUACACCGAAAGAAAAUGAGUGGCGAACGGGUGAGUAACACGUGGGUAACCUGCCCAUCAGCGGGGGAUAACACUUGGAAACAGGUGCUAAUACCGCAUAAUUCCAUUUACCGCAUGGUAGAUGGGUGAAAGGCGCUUUUGCGUCACUGAUGGAUGGACCCGCGGUGCAUUAGCUAGUUGGUGGGGUAACGGCCUACCAAGGCUGCGAUGCAUAGCCGACCUGAGAGGGUGAUCGGCCACACUGGGACUGAGACACGGCCCAGACUCCUACGGGAGGCAGCAGUAGGGAAUCUUCAGCAAUGGACGCAAGUCUGACCGAGCAACGCCGCGUGAGUGAAGAAGGUUUUCGGAUCGUAAAACUCUGUUGUUAGAGAAGAACAAGGAUGAGAGUGGAAAGUUCAUCCCUUGACGGUAUCUAACCAGAAAGCCACGGCUAACUACGUG